CUUACCCAUAAAGCCUGACGUCAGAACCCAGGAUAGCCCUUCCUCUCGAGGGACAGCCACGCUGAUGAACUGGAAGUGGGCUGAAGCUAUACAAACUCACACAGAGGGCGGAUAGUGCCGAACAUUAACUGAACACAAUUGAUGGAAACGCUCUUGUUGACUGCAGAAAGGUCAGCCUAACAUCGACCCCUAAAGUCUCAACCAACCACAGCCUGCCUCCUUCCCCUGCAGGGAGUUACACCUCCUCUCAGCAGAUCAAAUCUCUCCAAACAAGGAAUCUCUCCUGGUGCUCCAACAAUAAGUCCGAGACACGGCAAACCAAAUUACUCCCACAAUAACAUUUACUUCUCAGGCAUUUGAAACCUUUAUCCAGCUAUUGGCUCCGUGCAGCAGAACACGUUCUGCUGUAAAGCAGCACAACAGGAAACGAGAAGUAAUGAGGUCAAGAGUAAGAAAGAUAGUGACCUGUUAAAACUAAUGACAAAAGACAAGGCAUUGUGGUGAACAGACAGCAGAGGAGAAGACGUUAAAUAAAAUAUAAUCAACAAAACUAAUCUUUUAAACCCCCUGAGUUGAGUUUUGUUUCAAAGAAACAAAACUCAACUCAGGCAAAGACUGCAAACUUACCAAACCAAGCAACUACCCAAACAUACAUAACUGACCUAAGUCUGUUUUGUUUAUAAACUAAACACCAAAGAAGAAAAUCAAAACCACUAAACCCUAAAUUCAAAUAUUUAAUUAAGUACAACUACUUUGUUUUUAAAUUAAAGAAAACACACAUUCUCCCCCUUCAGCAGGAAGUGGUGGUGCGGUCCAAUUAUCGCUCUUUGUGUUUAAUGGUUUCAAACCCUGGCCACCACCUUUUGUCUGCCAACUCCCUGGAUCACGGCAGGUAAGAAGUAAAAGAAACAAAGGUUAGUCAAAAAUCAAAGUAAUGAACUGGUAUGAAUACAUAAGUAAACUAAAUGUGCGCGCUUACAAAUAGAACAAAUGUAUCCAAACCAAUCAAUAAACUUAUUGGAAACUAAAGUGUGUUAUUGUGUUCAAACAAAGAAAUGAAAAUACACAAGAGUUACCGACUUCAGAGUGUAGCCAUGGGUUUGGCCAUCACAAUUUCCAAUAAAUAUAUUUGAAAGAAUAUACUCGAUUACUUUUUUUAAACUUUUGCUAAAGAUGUAAAAAAGCCAACCAUGCAAAGAAGUAUUGACAAUUAAAGCAAUCCAUCCAUUCUCUGCCGCUUAUCCUUUUCAGGGUUGCAGGGGGGCCUGGAGCCUAUCCCAGCUGUCUUAGGUAUUCAGGAUACAGUCUGUUGCAGGGCUAACACAUAGAGGCAGACAACCACUCACACCUAUAAUGAGUUGCCAAUUACCCUAACCCCAAGUGCAUGUCUUUGAAAUGUGGGAGUGCCCAGAGAGAACAUGCAAACUCCAAACAGAAAGACCCUGGCCCAAUGGUGGAGUUGAACUCAGGACCGACUUGCUGUGAGGUAGCAGCGCUAAACACCGUGCAACAAAGCAAAGUGACAGCUUUGAGUGAUACUAUACAAGGCUGAUUUAAACAGCUGCAGCUGUUUGGACGUUAAAAUAUUUUAAUUACUUUGUAUAGCAAUACAAUUUUUACAUAACAGAUCAAUGUCCCGAUCAUUGUCUACAUUUAUCACUGUUUGCUAGAGAUAAUAGAGAGAAAACGGAGGAAAACCCCAACAUUCAGUGACUCCCUAUGAGCAAGUGGUUUGGCAAAGGUGAGAAGGAAAAGCUCGCUUUUAACAGGAAGAAACCUCCAGCAGAACCAGGCCAUCUGUCACAACCGGUCGGAGGUAAGUAGUUAAAGACAGAACAAAGACAUGCUUUGGAUGAAAGUUAAACAGAUUUCCUAUUCCUAAUCUUGUGGCAGCUGAACUGAAUCUUUGUUUUAGAGAAGCAGGAUGAUUACCUGUCAUAUUUACCUUAGCUUGAAAAUAUUCAAAUGAUUGAUGCCAAGAUACUUAUGAUCUCUCGUUGGAUAAUAGUCCUGUCCAAACAAGAGCCGCAGGGCCACCUUCAUCAAAUAAACCACUUGCAUUUUAUUUGCAUGUUAUCUGUUGUCCUGACUACUGGCGCUGGGGAAACCGGUUUUAUAUCCACAUUAACUUGAAUGCACAUAAAGUUAUGUCUUACAUUGCUUCCACCUGUGCACACGAGAGGUUGUUUUAUGGCCACUUUAAGAAAAGAAUUGUUUUGGCUAAGUGUCGACAGCUGUUUAGCUUUCAGUUUUUGUUUUUGCAUGCAUGUCUUUCAUAUUUUAUGUUUGCAGUGUCCUGUUUUACUGCAUGGAUAACUUUCACGCCUUUCCUCAACCAGCUUUCUCUAUGGUGUCAUCAUCGAUCGAGGUGUACACAUUUGGAAAUGUCCUAUAUGUGAUCAGCUCAACAGAAACUUUAAGUACUGACUAUAUUCAUACUAGAGGAAAUAAUGUGCAUCCAGGAAGUGUGUAUUGUGGUUCCAUCUCUGAAUAGAAACUUGAACUGUGAAGAAGUACAUCACUUUUGUUGUUAGGACCUUAAAUCCCCUCCAACCCUUUAAUAAAUGUUCUUGUUUUUGUGCCGUGUUCAACAGCAGACACGGGCUAAAGUCACAUGAUUUCAGUUCAUAAUCUUUUAUUCACAUGACAACCUCUUCCCUCCGGUGUAAACGAGUUUAAAUGCUUUGUUCGGUGUCUCAGCUGCACGGUAUCAGAAGAUUUGAUUUACUUUGAUAGAAUUAAACUAUUCGGUUGUGUUUAUGUAUAUAUUCAUAUCAAAUUGUCCAGGAAUAAAAACCCUCAGCUGGAUUCAUCCUUAAAUAUGUCAAACAAACGCUGUGUACGUUUGAACCCUGUAACAGCAGAGAAGUGACUGCAGUUGAAAACCUGUGUUUAC
Molecule: long non-coding RNA, 2896 nt
Organism: Oreochromis niloticus (Nile tilapia)
Lineage: Eukaryota; Metazoa; Chordata; Actinopteri; Cichliformes; Cichlidae
Exons: 3
Source: RefSeq, a predicted model, not a curated record